AAGUUACAGUCAUCGCAAACUGCAUUCCAUGCAAGUUCGAACGGCAGCACGGGUGCUUGCACCUGGUGGCGAGUGGCGAACGGGUGAGUAAUACAUCGGAACAUGUCCUGUAGUGGGGGAUAGCCCGGCGAAAGCCGGAUUAAUACCGCAUACGAUCUACGGAUGAAAGCGGGGGACCUUCGGGCCUCGCGCUAUAGGGUUGGCCGAUGGCUGAUUAGCUAGUUGGUGGGGUAAAGGCCUACCAAGGCGACGAUCAGUAGCUGGUCUGAGAGGACGACCAGCCACACUGGGACUGAGACACGGCCCAGACUCCUACGGGAGGCAGCAGUGGGGAAUUUUGGACAAUGGGCGAAAGCCUGAUCCAGCAAUGCCGCGUGUGUGAAGAAGGCCUUCGGGUUGUAAAGCACUUUUGUCCGGAAAGAAAUCCUUGGCUCUAAUACAGUCGGGGGAUGACGGUACCGGAAGAAUAAGCACCGGCUAACUACGUGCCAGCAGCCGCGGUAAUACGUAGGGUGCAAGCGUUAAUCGGAAUUACUGGGCGUAAAGCGUGCGCAGGCGGUUUGCUAAGACCGAUGUGAAAUCCCCGGGCUCAACCUGGGAACUGCAUUGGUGACUGGCAGGCUAGAGUAUGGCAGAGGGGGGUAGAAUUCCACGUGUAGCAGUGAAAUGCGUAGAGAUGUGGAGGAAUACCGAUGGCGAAGGCAGCCCUCUGGGCCAAUACUGACGCUCAUGCACGAAAGCGUGGGGAGCAAACAGGAUUAUAUACCCUGGUAGUCCACGCCCUAAACGAUGUCAACUAGUUGUUGGGGGAUUCAUUUCCCUUAGUAACGUAGCUAACGCGUGGAAGUUGACCGCCUGGGGGAGUACGGGUCGCAAGAUUAAAACUCAUAGGAAUUGACGGGGACCACGCACAAGCGGUGGAUGAUGUGGAGUAUUUCGAUGCAACGCGAAAAACCUUACCUACCCUUGAGUGGUCGGAAUCCUGCUGAGAGGCGGGAGUGCUCGCAAGAAAACCGACCCACACGUGCUGCUGGAUGUCAUCAGCUCUUGUCGAGAAGAAGUUGGGUAAGUUCCAACAACAAGCUC
RNAcentral lists this ribosomal RNA (1086 nucleotides) under Burkholderia cepacia. RNAcentral describes it as "bacterial SSU rRNA". It matches the Rfam family "Bacterial small subunit ribosomal RNA", at positions 21 to 1099 of the family's 1533-position model. The record is from RNAcentral. Lineage: Bacteria; Pseudomonadati; Pseudomonadota; Betaproteobacteria; Burkholderiales; Burkholderiaceae.